GUGCUCAAGGUGUAGUGGUUAUCACAUCUGUCUAACACACAGAAGGUCCCAGGUUCGAUCCCCGGUUAGCACA
RNAcentral lists this transfer RNA (73 nucleotides) under Homarus americanus (American lobster). Its description in RNAcentral is "tRNA-Val". It matches the Rfam family "tRNA". Rfam says of the family: Transfer RNA (tRNA) molecules are approximately 80 nucleotides in length. Their secondary structure includes four short double-helical elements and three loops (D, anti-codon, and T loops). Further hydrogen bonds mediate the characteristic L-shaped molecular structure. tRNAs have two regions of fundamental functional importance: the anti-codon, which is responsible for specific mRNA codon recognition, and the 3' end, to which the tRNAs corresponding amino acid is attached (by aminoacyl-tRNA synthetases). tRNAs cope with the degeneracy of the genetic code in two manners: having more than one tRNA (with a specific anti-codon) for a particular amino acid; and 'wobble' base-pairing, i.e. permitting non-standard base-pairing at the 3rd anti-codon position. Lineage: Eukaryota; Metazoa; Arthropoda; Malacostraca; Decapoda; Nephropidae. The record is from Rfam by way of RNAcentral.